CUCCUAUAGGGCGAAUUGGGCCCUCUAGAUGCAUGCUCGAGCGGCCGCCAGUGUGAUGGAUAUCUGCAGAAUUCGCCCUUUUCCGGUUGAUCCUGCCGGAGGCCACUGCUAUUGGGGUUCGACUAAGCCAUGCGAGUCUAUGGGCUUUGCCCAUGGCGGACGGCUCAGUAACACGUGGUUAACCUACCCUCAGAUGGGGGAUAACCUCGGGAAACUGAGGCUAAUACCCCAUAGGGGAUGAUGUCUGGAAUGAUUCAUCCCUGAAAGGACAUCCGCCUGAGGAUGGGACUGCGUCCGAUUAGGUAGUUGGUGGGGUAACGGCCCACCAAGCCUACGAUCGGUACGGGCCUUGAGAGAGGGAGCCCGGAGAUGGGGACUGAGACACGGCCCCAGGCCCUACGGGGCGCAGCAGGCGCGAAACCUCCACAAUGCACGAAAGUGCGAUGGGGGAACCCCAAGUGCCUAUGCACAGCAUAGGCUUUUCCCAAGUGUAAACAGCUUGGGGAAUAAGGGCUGGGCAAGUCCGGUGCCAGCAGCCGCGGUAACACCGGCGGCCCAAGUGGUGGCCACUCUUAUUGGGCCUAAAGCGUCCGUAGCCGGUCCAGUAAGUCCCUGUUUAAAUCCUGCGGCUUAACCGCAGGACUGGCAGGGAUACUGCUGGACUAGGGACCGGGAGAGGGUGAGGGUACUCCAGGGGUAGCGGUGAAAUGCGUUGAUCCCUGGAGGACCACCUAUGGCGAAGGCACUCACCUGGAACGGGUCCGACGGUGAGGGACGAAAGCCAGGGGCGCGAACCGGAUUAGAUACCCGGGUAGUCCUGGCCGUAAACUCUGCGGACNUANGGUGUUGCCUGGGCCUAGGGCCCAGGCAGUGCCNAAGGGAAGCCGUUAAGUCCGCCGCCUGGGGAGUACGGUCGCAAGACUGAAACUUAANGGAUUUGGCGGGGGAGCACACAACGGGUGGAGCCUGCGG
Molecule: ribosomal RNA, 972 nt
Filed under: uncultured Methanococcus sp.
Lineage: Archaea; Methanobacteriati; Methanobacteriota; Methanococci; Methanococcales; Methanococcaceae
Description: partial 16S ribosomal RNA
Rfam family: Archaeal small subunit ribosomal RNA
Source: RNAcentral